Molecule: long non-coding RNA, 704 nt
Organism: Sander lucioperca (pikeperch)
Lineage: Eukaryota; Metazoa; Chordata; Actinopteri; Perciformes; Percidae
Exons: 3
Source: RefSeq, a predicted model, not a curated record
AAUAGGUAAUAACCUAUCCGUAGGUAGCCAAUUUAUAACCUAACAUUAGCUUAAGUAACGUUAAGCUAACUUAGUAAAUUAAUUAGUAACGUUGAUAAACGUUAGCUAUAACGUGUUUGUUUGUGUAAACUUGGCUACUGUAAAGGUCUAGGGAGUUUUUAGGCUCAAAAAAUCAUGAUCAAUCACUCGCUGACGUUAUUCACCGUUGGUCACGAAGAGCAGUAACGGCGUUACUGCGUAGGCGACGUUACGGUCGUAACGGCAGGCAGCCACCGUGAUGGCUUCAACUGACCAAAUUCACCCAAACUGUCGUUUUGUCCUGCGAUGGGGACGUAAGCUCUCAACACUGCACACAAAAUUGGCAGCACUGCACAGUCCUAAAAUAACCUGUGCAGCUCAGAGGAUUGUCCUAAUGCCAUUACAUUACUACUGAGCAAGCAGGAGAGACACUGAAGGGUUGGGACAGGAGGAGCGGGGACACUUCACCUUAUGACACCAAAGAAUAAUCUUCCCAACUCUGGGCCCCAAAGACAGACUUCAAUGUGGGGACUGCCUUCCCCCGUCCCUCAGGCUCCCCUCAAGGCUGCCUACAGCAGCAGCAUUGGGUUUCACCCAUAGACUGUAUGGUUUCACCACAUCUCUAAGGUGAAUCAACACAAUGCUCUUCACAUUUUAUCCAUCUUAGGUAUUGUAUCAGAUACUGU